GAUGAACGCUGGCGGCGUGCUUAACACAUGCAAGUCGAACGGGAAACUUUUCAUUGAAGCUUCGGCAGAUUUGGUCUGUUUCUAGUGGCGGACGGGUGAGUAACGCGUGGGUAACCUGCCUUAUACAGGGGGAUAACAACCAGACAUGGUUGCUAAUACCGCAUAAGCGCACAGGACCGCAUGGUCCGGUGUGAAAAACUCCGGUGGUAUAAGAUGGACCCGCGUUGGAUUAGCUAGUUGGCAGGGUAACGGCCUACCAAGGCGACGAUCCAUAGCCGGCCUGAGAGGGUGAACGGCCACAUUGGGACUGAGACACGGCCCAGACUCCUACGGGAGGCAGCAGUGGGGAAUAUUGCACAAUGGGGGAAACCCUGAUGCAGCGACGCCGCGUGAAGGAAGAAGUAUCUCGGUAUGUAAACUUCUAUCAGCAGGGAAGAUAGUGACGGUACCUGACGAAGAAGCCCCGGCUAACUACGUG
This 478-nucleotide ribosomal RNA is filed under the name uncultured bacterium. RNAcentral describes it as "partial 16S ribosomal RNA". It matches the Rfam family "Bacterial small subunit ribosomal RNA", at positions 28 to 507 of the family's 1533-position model. The record is from RNAcentral.